CGCAGACGCCCUUGGCCCUUCCAGGUGAGGAACUGGCUUAGAGCUGCGGCUUCUCCUCCUGGAAGGUGCAAGCGCUCGGGCCCAGACGCUGCCGGAGGAGAGCCGAGCUGCCAGCCAUGUGCAGAGGCCGGACCUCCAGGGCCUCCACGCGGCCACCUCGCGUGACUCGUGUGUUCACCUGGACCCGCGUGCUUCUGGAGGAGUGGCGCGAUGUCCCGGCCUAAGUCUUGCAAAUUGCACUCCACGUUGCCCGCCGAUUCUUCUCACGGUCGGAUUUGUCUCAGAGAUUCUCGCAGCGCACACGUGAAGGUAGUUUCAUCCCAGAUUUGUUUGAAAACGAACAAGUGGAAGUAUUUUAAACGGGCAACGAUAGAUGUUUGAAUUAUGUGUGUAAGGGACGGAAGCCUUUGGAACUGUUACCUUAAAUGUAUAUUCGAUGACAUACAAAGAUAUCUUUAACCCAUAUAAAUAAAAGCGGUUAUAACACAGCCUUUAGAGAGUAUCACCUUAUUGUCACCUUUUGAGUGCAAUAUAUGUAUCCUAAGCUGUUAUAUAUUCACAACAAACGGUUAAGCGUUGAUUUCACUGGGCUAUAGGACCACAGGUGGUUUUUUCCUCACAUAGUGAUAGUUUCUCGUGUUAAUAAAGUGUAUCGGUUAAGAUCAA
Molecule: long non-coding RNA, 666 nt
Organism: Prionailurus viverrinus (fishing cat)
Lineage: Eukaryota; Metazoa; Chordata; Mammalia; Carnivora; Felidae
Exons: 2
Source: RefSeq, a predicted model, not a curated record